AUUGAACGCUGGCGGCAGGCUUAACACAUGCAAGUCGAGCGGGGUGAUGGUGCUUGCACUAUCACUUAGCGGCGGACGGGUGAGUAAUGCUUAGGAAUCUGCCUAUUAGUGGGGGACAACAUCUCGAAAGGGAUGCUAAUACCGCAUACGUCCUACGGGAGAAAGCAGGGGAUCACUUGUGACCUUGUGCUAAUAGAUGAGCCUAAGUCGGAUUAGCUAGUUGGUGGGGUAAAGGCCUACCAAGGCGACGAUCUGUAGCGGGUCUGAGAGGAUGAUCCGCCACACUGGGACUGGGACACGGCCCAGACUCCUACGGGAGGCAGCAGUGGGGAAUAUUGGACAAUGGGGGGAACCCUGAUCCAGCCAUGCCGCGUGUGUGAAGAAGGCCUUAUGGUUGUAAAGCACUUUAAGCGAGGAGGAGGCUUACCUAGUUAAUACCUGGGAUAAGUGGACGUUACUCGCAGAAUAAGCACCGGCUAACUCUGUGCCAGCAGCCGCGGUAA
RNAcentral lists this ribosomal RNA (503 nucleotides) under uncultured bacterium. RNAcentral's name for it is "partial 16S ribosomal RNA". It matches the Rfam family "Bacterial small subunit ribosomal RNA", at positions 30 to 523 of the family's 1533-position model. The record is from RNAcentral.